UUUAAAUCCAGAUUAGAUUUAAGCAGCUGCUACGCAAAGGGCAUGUGAGCAGAGGCUGUGCAGUGGGGAUGAGCAGACAGAAGACAGCAGGGCUGUGCCGUGGGACAGGGCACCCCGGGAGGAGAUGUUCCCUGCCGUGAAGAGAGAGCCCAGGCAGGAGGAUGAAGCACAGGGACACGCUGGCCUGCUCACUGGGUAGGUGCUGGAGAGAGGCCACCCCUCUGCACAGGGCUGCAGACCAUGUUCCACCUCUUCUCCCACUGCUGGUCGUGGCUGCAGGCCAUACAGGAGCCCAUCAGGAAGGUGACCCUCCUUGUCAUGGGGCUGGACAACGCAGGGAAAACCUCCGUCAUCGCGGACAUGGGGACAGGUGAGGAGCAGCACAGCCCAGAGGCAGCCCCAGACGCAGGCAGCAGCUCGGUGGUCCUGUGACACCAAAGGACCGAGGCUUGUGAGCUCCAGCCGCUGUUCCGGGGGAGUCUGCGGGGCACGGCCGUGCCCGGG
Molecule: long non-coding RNA, 504 nt
Filed under: Chloebia gouldiae (Gouldian finch)
Lineage: Eukaryota; Metazoa; Chordata; Aves; Passeriformes; Passeridae
Description: Erythrura gouldiae (Gouldian finch) lncRNA (ENSEGOG00005019035.1)
Source: RNAcentral